Long non-coding RNA from Micropterus dolomieu (smallmouth bass), 864 nucleotides. RefSeq lists it as uncharacterized. NCBI's taxonomy places the organism in Eukaryota, Metazoa, Chordata, Actinopteri, Centrarchiformes, Centrarchidae. The transcript has 3 exons. The record is from RefSeq and is a predicted model, not a curated record.
AUUAUAUUGUAACAUGAAUGGUUAUGAGUGUAUAUUGUACUGCUAACUGCUCUAUGCCAAAUUCAAGGUUCUUAGAAGAACCUUGUUCUUAAGGGGGGGAUGUUACGACCCCUUCCUUCUCCUGCAGGAGGCUGCAGGCAGGGAGGCUGAUUGGGCUGCACCUGUGCAGCUCUCUUCAGAGCUUAUUUAGCCAGGACUGAUCAGUGUUUUGUCUUCCAACCAACGAUACUUCAACAAAACUACAAGCUCGUGCAGAUUGUUCUGCUCUGGACUACAUAAUGUUGGUUAUGCGUGUGGCUGAACUCCUCCUAAUUACUGUGAUUACUGUUCUUCUCAUCAGAGCUCGAGAGACUACCUGACAACAACACAGUGACCUACAGCAGCGUGAAAGCUUCCUCUUCUUCUGCUGGAGCCUCAGCUGAUCCCAGCGACCUCUACGCCACCGUCAACAAACCAAACAAAUAAGAGACCACAGUGUAGUUACAGCUCAUAUCAUUACAGGUAAUUUACACUGAGAACUGAUAAAUGUUUUAUUAUUUGAAUUAUUUUAUGAUAAUAUAUGGGACAUUUAGCUUGAUGAACUUGCUGUCAGGCACUUUAAUGUGCUAGUGCUGUGUUGUAGUUAAACAUGUAUUAGUUUUUACUGUUAUUUCUGUAUCAGCUGUUAUUGUUUGAUAUGCAGUCAUUUUAACAUCUAUAUUUCUGUAGAGGUUUAACACCUCCAGAGCUCUUUGCACCUUCUUCUUCUUCGUCUUCCUUUCAUGUGGUGAAACGGGUCAUUGACACAAAUACAGUGUGAACUUUUUGUGAUAGUGCUAAAUGGUAAGUAAAGGCUGUUAAAUGCUUCCUUUCUUAGCUCCUUUA